UACGUAGGGGGCAAGCGUUGUCCGGAUUUAUUGGGCGUAAAGAGCGUGUAGGCGGUCUGGUAGGUCCGUUGUGAAAACUCGAGGCUCAACCUCGAGACGCCGGUGGAAACCAUCAGACUAGAGUCCGGAAGAGGAGAGUGGAAUUCCUGGUGUAGCGGUGAAAUGCGCAGAUAUCGGGAGGAACACCGGUGGCGAAGGCGGUUCUCUGGGCCUGUACUGACGCUGAGGAGCGAAAGCGUGGGGAGCGAACAGG
This 253-nucleotide ribosomal RNA is filed under the name uncultured bacterium. Its description in RNAcentral is "partial 16S ribosomal RNA". It matches the Rfam family "Bacterial small subunit ribosomal RNA", at positions 524 to 776 of the family's 1533-position model. The record is from RNAcentral.